This 253-nucleotide ribosomal RNA is filed under the name uncultured bacterium. RNAcentral describes it as "partial 16S ribosomal RNA". It matches the Rfam family "Bacterial small subunit ribosomal RNA", at positions 524 to 776 of the family's 1533-position model. The record is from RNAcentral.
UACGAAGGGGGCUAGCGUUGCUCGGAAUCACUGGGCGUAAAGCGCACGUAGGCGGAUUGCUAAGUCAGGGGUGAAAUCCUGGAGCUCAACUCCAGAACUGCCUUUGAUACUGGGGAUCUCGAGUCCGGGAGAGGUGAGUGGAACUGCGAGUGUAGAGGUGAAAUUCGUAGAUAUUCGCAAGAACACCAGUGGCGAAGGCGGCUCACUGGCCCGGUACUGACGCUGAGGUGCGAAAGCGUGGGGAGCAAACAGG